AGAGUUUGAUCAUGGCUCAGAUUGAACGCUGGCGGCAUGCCUUACACAUGCAAGUCGAACGGCAGCACGGGAGCUUGCUCCUGGUGGCGAGUGGCGAACGGGUGAGUAAUAUAUCGGAACGUACCCUAGAGUGGGGGAUAACGCAGCGAAAGUUGCGCUAAUACCGCAUACGAUCUACGGAUGAAAGUGGGGGAUCGCAAGACCUCAUGCUCAUGGAGCGGCCGAUAUCUGAUUAGCUAGUUGGUAGGGUAAAAGCCUACCAAGGCUUCGAUCAGUAGCUGGUCUGAGAGGACGACCAGCCACACUGGAACUGAGACACGGUCCAGACUCCUACGGGAGGCAGCAGUGGGGAAUUUUGGACAAUGGGCGCAAGCCUGAUCCAGCAAUGCCGCGUGAGUGAAGAAGGCCUUCGGGUUGUAAAGCUCUUUUGUCAGGGAAGAAACGGUGGACUCUAAUACAGAUCACUAAUGACGGUACCUGAAGAAUAAGCACCGGCUAACUACGUGCCAGCAGCCGCGGU
RNAcentral lists this ribosomal RNA (520 nucleotides) under uncultured bacterium. RNAcentral's name for it is "bacterial SSU rRNA". It matches the Rfam family "Bacterial small subunit ribosomal RNA", at positions 8 to 521 of the family's 1533-position model. The record is from RNAcentral.